GCCGGUGUGAUGGAAUGGUAGACGUAGCGGAUUCAAAAUCCGCCGAUGGCGACAUCGUGUGGGUUCGAGUCCCACCACCGGCACCA
This 86-nucleotide transfer RNA is filed under the name Neglectibacter timonensis. RNAcentral's name for it is "tRNA-Leu". It matches the Rfam family "tRNA". Rfam says of the family: Transfer RNA (tRNA) molecules are approximately 80 nucleotides in length. Their secondary structure includes four short double-helical elements and three loops (D, anti-codon, and T loops). Further hydrogen bonds mediate the characteristic L-shaped molecular structure. tRNAs have two regions of fundamental functional importance: the anti-codon, which is responsible for specific mRNA codon recognition, and the 3' end, to which the tRNAs corresponding amino acid is attached (by aminoacyl-tRNA synthetases). tRNAs cope with the degeneracy of the genetic code in two manners: having more than one tRNA (with a specific anti-codon) for a particular amino acid; and 'wobble' base-pairing, i.e. permitting non-standard base-pairing at the 3rd anti-codon position. Lineage: Bacteria; Bacillati; Bacillota; Clostridia; Eubacteriales; Oscillospiraceae. RNAcentral also lists the same sequence under 8 other names. The record is from RNAcentral.